CCCGUAACAGAGAAGUGAUCGAAUGAUGUUUCUUUACCGUCAAAAUUAGCUACGUUAUCGACAAACUUAAUUGAGUAGUGACAACUAUUGGUACUUUAACGUUAAAAAGAUUGACAAUGCUGACAAACUUUCAUGUGUCGAUAAUCAAGUUUGAUACCGAUAAUAUUGAAAAUAAUUCUAAUAAUAUGAAACAAAAUAUGUC
RNAcentral lists this long non-coding RNA (202 nucleotides) under Mytilus galloprovincialis (Mediterranean mussel). Lineage: Eukaryota; Metazoa; Mollusca; Bivalvia; Mytilida; Mytilidae. The record is from RNAcentral.